GACUCGGUGGCGGAAGGCCCGCAUCUCCUCCUGCUACACUGUUUGAUGGUAUCAUCAACGGAGAAGCCGCCCGUUCGAUUCGGGCUCGAGUCG
This is a non-coding RNA of Mycena belliarum, 93 nucleotides long. NCBI's taxonomy places the organism in Eukaryota, Fungi, Basidiomycota, Agaricomycetes, Agaricales, Mycenaceae. The record is from the annotation of a GenBank genome assembly.